GAUGAACGCUGGCGGCGUGCCUAAUACAUGCAAGUCGAGCGAACAGAUAAGGAGCUUGCUCCUUUGACGUUAGCGGCGGACGGGUGAGUAACACGUGGGUAACCUACCUAUAAGACUGGGAUAACUUCGGGAAACCGGAGCUAAUACCGGAUAAUAUUUCGAACCGCAUGGUUCGAUAGUGAAAGAUGGUUUUGCUAUCACUUAUAGAUGGACCCGCGCCGUAUUAGCUAGUUGGUAAGGUAACGGCUUACCAAAGCGACGAUACGUAGCCGACCUGAGAGGGUGAUCGGCCACACUGGAACUGGGACACGGUCCAGACUCCUACGGGAGGCAGCAGUAGGGAAUCUUCCGCAAUGGGCGAAAGCCUGACGGAGCAACGCCGCGUGAGUGAUGAAGGUCUUCGGAUCGUAAAACUCUGUUAUUAGGGAAGAACAUACGUGUAAGUAACUGUGCACGUCUUGACGGUACCUAAUCAGAAAGCCACGGCUAACUACGUG
This 497-nucleotide ribosomal RNA is filed under the name uncultured bacterium. Its description in RNAcentral is "partial 16S ribosomal RNA". It matches the Rfam family "Bacterial small subunit ribosomal RNA", at positions 28 to 507 of the family's 1533-position model. The record is from RNAcentral.